This 631-nucleotide long non-coding RNA is filed under the name Equus caballus (horse). RNAcentral describes it as "lncRNA (ENSECAG00000055528.1)". Lineage: Eukaryota; Metazoa; Chordata; Mammalia; Perissodactyla; Equidae. The record is from RNAcentral.
GAUGGAAAACAGCUGGUCAGCAUCCUCAGCUAAUACUUGUUAAACGCCGUCUUAAAAAUAAUCCGUUAGCUUGAGGACAUUAUGCUAAGCGAAAUAAGCUAGUCACAAAAGGACAAAUACUAUAUGAUUCCACUUAUGUGAGGUAACUUCAGUAGUCAAACGCAGUAGAACAAAAAGUAGAAUGGUGGUUCCAAGGCCUGGGAGGAGGCGGCAUUAGGGAGUUACUGUUUAACGGAUACAGAGUUUCAAUUUUGCAAGAUGAAAAGAGUCUGUGGAUGGAUGGUAGUGAUGAUAGCACAACAAUGUGAAUGUAUUUAAUGCUGCAGAAGUAUACACUUGUAUGCAGCAGAAGAGCCUUUGAGUGAAGACCUGGGAACUUGGAAAAGACUUCUUACUCCGUUACAAUCUUCCAAUUAACGGCAAUAAAUCAGAGUUCAGGCUAAGGAGUCACUGAGAUUUUCCUAGGCCCACAGCCAUCCAAAGUCCCAGGCCUGAGAAAAGCACCAAAUGGUCUUUGGUUAAGGCCAGCAGCGUGCCUUGGAAGUGGGAGAGCAGUCAUGUUUGUUAAAAUUCAGAAGAAAGUAACAACUCCAGUGGCAGAUCCUGACCAGCUGGGAUGUUCUGCUCCAUC